AGAGUGCGUAAUAGCUCACUAGUCGAGAGGUCCUGCGCCGAAAAUGUCCGGGGCUGAAACACACUACCGAAGCUCAGGAAUGUACUUGUACAUUGGUAGAGGAGCAUUGUAUACGGGAAGAAGCAGUACCGAUAAGGAGCUGUGGACUGUAUAGAAGAGAGAAUGCCGGAAUGAGUAGCGAGAGGAAGGUGAGAAUCCUUCCGGCCGAAUAUCUAAGGUUUCCAGAGUAAAGCUGAUCUGCUCUGGGUAAGUCGGGGCCUAAGGCGAGGUCGAAAGACGUAGUCGAUGGAUAACAGGUUGAAAUUCCUGUACUAUCCUGUAACAGAACUGUGGGGACGCAGACAGAGAGCACAAGCCGGGAAUGGAAAGACCGGUGCAAGCGAGGUAGGAGUACAUCAGGCAAAUCCGGUGUGCAAUCCGAAGACGUGAUGCGGAUCGAAAAGAAGUAGAGAAGUGUGUGAGCUGGCUGCCAAGAAAAGCCGCUAUUGUUUACAGGAUACCCGUACCGUAAACCGACACAGGUGGAUGAGGAGAGAAUCCUAAGGCCGACGGGAGAAGCAUUGUUAAGGAACUCGGCAAAAUGACUCCGUAACUUCGGGAGAAGGAGUGCCAGUGAGAGCUGGCCGCAGAGAAUUGGCCCAAGCAACUGUUUAGCAAAAACACAGGUCUAUGCAAAACCGAAAGGUGAGGUAUAUGGGCUGACGCCUGCCCGGUGCUGGAAGGUUAAGAGGAGAGGUUAGCGCAAGCGAAGCUUUGAAUUUAAGCCCCAGUAAACGGCGGCCGUAACUAUAACGGUCCUAAGGUAGCGAAAUUCCUUGUCGGGUAAGUUCCGACCCGCACGAAAGGCGUAAUGAUUUGAGCGCUGUCUCGACAAUGCAUCCGGUGAAAUUGAAGUACCAGUGAAGAUGCUGGUUACCUGCGCCAGGACGGAAAGACCCCAUGGAGCUUUACUCCAGUUUGGUACUGGGGUCCGGCAGUGCAUGUACAGGAUAGGUGGGAGGCUGUGAACCUGGAACGCCAGUUUCAGGGGAGCCAUUGUUGGGAUACCACCCUUGUGCUGCUGGGCUUCUAACCAGCGGCCUUUAUCAGGCCGGGGGACAAUGCCAGACGGGGAGUUUGACUGGGGCGGUCGCCUCCGAAAGGGUAUCGGAGGCGCCCAAAGGUUCCCUCAGAAUGGACGGAAACCAUUCGAAGAGUGCAAAGGCAGAAGGGAGCUUGACUGCGACACCGACGG
This 1234-nucleotide ribosomal RNA is filed under the name human gut metagenome. RNAcentral's name for it is "bacterial LSU rRNA". It matches the Rfam family "Bacterial large subunit ribosomal RNA", at positions 1127 to 2387 of the family's 2925-position model. The record is from RNAcentral.